Molecule: long non-coding RNA, 185 nt
Organism: Sebastes umbrosus (honeycomb rockfish)
Lineage: Eukaryota; Metazoa; Chordata; Actinopteri; Perciformes; Sebastidae
Exons: 3
Source: RefSeq, a predicted model, not a curated record
UUAAUGAGUCUAAAGACAAAAGUCCUAAACUUUGAGUUUCGAGUCCUAAACAAGUCAUAAUGCGCUCUUCACCAAAUGUAAUGCCAUUUUUACAACAGAGUAACUGGCGCCAACUGGUGCUCCGUAAUUUAACAUUAGUUCUUCAUGGUUCUCUCCUGCAACUUGAUUGGAUGCUGUCGGAUUGG